Molecule: ribosomal RNA, 530 nt
Filed under: uncultured bacterium
Lineage: Bacteria
Description: bacterial SSU rRNA
Rfam family: Bacterial small subunit ribosomal RNA
Source: RNAcentral
GAAACGAUGGCUAAUACCGCAUGAUGCCUACGGGCCAAAGAGGGGGACCUUCGGGCCUCUCGCGUCAGGAUAUGCCCAGGUGGGAUUAGCUAGUUGGUGAGGUAAGGGCUCACCAAGGCGACGAUCCCUAGCUGGUCUGAGAGGAUGAUCAGCCACACUGGAACUGAGACACGGUCCAGACUCCUACGGGAGGCAGCAGUGGGGAAUAUUGCACAAUGGGCGCAAGCCUGAUGCAGCCAUGCCGCGUGUGUGAAGAAGGCCUUCGGGUUGUAAAGCACUUUCAGUUGUGAGGAAGGUGGUGUCGUUAAUAGCGGCAUCAUUUGACGUUAGCAACAGAAGAAGCACCGGCUAACUCCGUGCCAGCAGCCGCGGUAAUACGGAGGGUGCGAGCGUUAAUCGGAAUUACUGGGCGUAAAGCGCAUGCAGGUGGUUUGUUAAGUCAGAUGUGAAAGCCCGGGGCUCAACCUCGGAACUGCAUUUGAAACUGGCAGACUAGAGUACUGUAGAGGGGGGUAGAAUUUCAGGUGUAG